Long non-coding RNA from Notothenia coriiceps (black rockcod), 452 nucleotides. RefSeq lists it as uncharacterized. The transcript has 3 exons. The record is from RefSeq and is a predicted model, not a curated record. NCBI's taxonomy places the organism in Eukaryota, Metazoa, Chordata, Actinopteri, Perciformes, Nototheniidae.
CCACAGCCAAUCAGAUCCCUCCUUCCAACAUGCAAAAAAACCUGAAGUUGUUGUCCUAUUUCCUCGACUGGUAACGUCUGAGUGCGCCAUGGAAGCUCUGGAGGCCAUGGAGAGCUCGUCGGUGUACAUGUGCUUCCCGUGCUACCAGGAGUUCAACACCCUGGAAGAAGUGCUUCAGCACCAGUUGACAUGCACUGCUGAGGAUGAGCAUCAGGAAACAUCUGCGACCACUCCUAUCACUGUUCCCCUGCUGCAGAACCAGUGUUCCCAUGGCAGCCUCUGAAAGCCCUUCAGGGGUAAAAACAGCCAUCGGCUCUCGUUGGUCUCCAACACGUGUCCAUAAAGCACGGUGACACGCAUGACCGACAAAUUGCUGCCUGAGUUGCCGACGGGAAGAAGAGCUUGAGAAAAACAUCAGUCAAUGCCCGCCUUCCCCCUGAUGAACACUCAUU